Long non-coding RNA from Oncorhynchus tshawytscha (Chinook salmon), 1182 nucleotides. NCBI's taxonomy places the organism in Eukaryota, Metazoa, Chordata, Actinopteri, Salmoniformes, Salmonidae. The record is from Ensembl.
GUGGAAAAUAAGUAUUGGGAAACAGUCCUGUAGUUUAGCAUCUGCUUCAUCUGACUACUUCUGUAUUCAACAUGUCACUGGUACUGCCUGGUUGAGUUUGUGCUUGUAAAAAGGAAUCAGAAGGAUAGAGUUAGAUUUGCCAAAGGGAGGGUGAGGGAGAGCUUUAUAUGCGUUUCUCUGUGUGAAGUAAAGGUGAUCUAGAGUUUUGUCGCCUCUAGUUGUACAGUUGACAUGCUGGUAAAAAUGAAGUAAAACAGACUUCAGUUUCCCUGCAUUGAAAUCACCGGCCAUGAGAAGCGUCACUUCUGGAUGUGCAUUUUCUUGUUUGCUUAUGUGCCAGCAUCGGUUUGUAUUGGUAAACAGCUCUGAAAAAUAUAGAUGAAAACUCUUGGUAAAUGUCUGCAGGUUAUCAUGAGGUGUUCUAACUCGGUGAGCAGAAACUCAAAACUUCCUUAACAUAAGAGAUCGCACAACAGCUGUUGUUAACAAAGACACACCGCUCAUCCCUUCGCCUUACCAGAGGCUGCUGUCCAGUCUUGACGGUGCAUGGAAAACCCAAUAUUACAGUUCUUCAGGUCCGUUGAUAGGAUAGUCUCGAACAGAGCUCGUCCAGUUUGCUCUCCAGUGUACAUUCACCAAUAAAACGGAGGGUAGAGGCGGUUUAUUUGCUCACCAAUAUAGUCUCGUCAUGUUGCCUGCUUGUCUCGUCAGCCUCUUGCGCUGUCACUUCUUCUUUCGAGUCCAGAUGACCAAGGCCUUAAUGCGGAUUAAGCAGAAAGUCCAGAGCUGCCAACUCGUUGAAGUAGAAAUUGUCAUCCAAAUCGAGGUUGGUGAUCGCUGUUCUGAUGUCCAGAAGCAGUUUUCAGUCAUAGGAAUUUAUCGUGGAGACAUUAUGUACAAAAAAAAAGUUAAGAUUAGCGUAAAAAAACAAACAUAAAAUAGCAUAAUUGAUCAGGAGCCCGUAAAUCCACUGCUAUACACUGCAGCGCCAUCUUACGCAUCAUAUGCACAUAUGCAUGCAAUACGCACAAACCGACAAAGCACACACACAUACAUGCACACAGGUGCACACACACACAGCUCUUUAUUUCCCCACCAUUUCUCAGGACUCGUCUGGUAGUCUCUGCCCACUUGCUGUGCAGUGCGGUCACCAUGGAAACGACUGCACUGCAUGUCUUUUCU